Molecule: ribosomal RNA, 253 nt
Filed under: uncultured bacterium
Lineage: Bacteria
Description: partial 16S ribosomal RNA
Rfam family: Bacterial small subunit ribosomal RNA
Source: RNAcentral
AACGUAGGUACCGAGCGUUAUCCGGAUUCACUGGGCGUAAAGCGCGUGCAGGUGGUUUGGUAAGUCGGGCAUGAAAACUCUUGGCUCAACUAAGAGACGCUGUCCGAUACUGCCAGGCUUGAGGGCAUAAGAGGGAGGUGGAAUUCCGCAUGUAGUGGUGAAAUGCGUAGAUAUGCGGAGGAACACCAGUGGCGAAGGCGGCCUCCUGGUAUGCUCCUGACACUCAGACGCGAAAGCUAGGGGAGCGAACGGG